AUAAAAGUCACUUGAACUCCACUUUGUACUAGCAUCACGAGUCUUAUUUGCUUCUAAAUCACCCAAACAUCAAUGCUGUUAUGAUCGAUAUGUUAUCAUUUAUAAUAGUAACAUAUGAUCCCUCAACCCAAUAUAGUCUUAUCAUUUCACUGAACAAACUUGUUACUGAACAGUUUUAUAACAAUGACAUUUGGAUUGUAAAUCGUCUACUUGCCAAUGGUUUGAAUUCAAAUUUUCAAACAUUUGACAAAACAAUGAGUGUAAAUUUACGAAAAUUACAAUGUAUUCUCCAACCUAUACAUAAAUAUGGGGACCCAAUUCAAAUUUUCUAUUCAGCAAAUGAGAUCCAGACCUUCAAUUUUGUAGUAAACUAAAUGGUCCCUAAAGAUGAUCUCUAUCCAAAUUUUUAGCAAGUGGGUCCCAAACUGAUAGGGGUACUUUCACUUCAAAAUUUUUCCGUUUGUGGGGAUAUUUUAGGGAAGUGCAAAACAAACCUAGGGAUUUGAAAAGUAGCUGUUUUGAGGAGAUCUGAAUGGUGGAAGUUUGAUAAGUGCGUUUUACACACUUAUUUAUGCCACCAAACAUGGAUAAUGUUGGUAAAUAUAUGAAGUAUGGCUUAAUCCUAUACAAUUAUGUUUUGUAGGAUGACAUUGAUGGACAUAGCGGAGUUUAGGAGAAACAAGCGAGAGAAGGACUAAAAUGGGAGAAACCAAAAGUCCUGGGACCAAAUUGCAAAUAGCUGAAAGAUAACCCAGAAGAAGAAACGAAGAUGUGAAAGAGUCGGAGACCAAUUUAGCACAGACACGAAGUAUUAGGAGAAGAAGAAAUGACAAAAGAGAUCAAGAAACGAAACAAAAGUUCGGGGACAAAAACGCAAAGAAUGAAAUUCCACUUGAACUAUGCGGUUGCAUAUUUCUUUGAGCCAUGCGAUUGCAUGGCAUGUUGCAGGAGGCCUCAAGGUUGAAAUUGUUUAAACUAUGCUACAACAUACGAUUGAACUAUGCAAUAGCAUAGUAUAUUUUCAGAGGAAAAUUUUUGGUUUCCUAAUUUGAAUCAAACUCCUAUAGAAACAAUAUUUCUCUUUUAAGACCGAAGGCCGUCUAGAAACAAGGGGAGAAGCAUUCUAAGAGAUUUUGGAGCAUACAAAUAGGCAAGAAACACGAAGAACGAUUCCAAAACUCGAAGAUUCAAUUCGAGAUUUAUUU
This 1205-nucleotide long non-coding RNA is filed under the name Olea europaea (common olive). RNAcentral's name for it is "long non-coding RNA (OEUR_LNC011083)". The record is from RNAcentral. Lineage: Eukaryota; Viridiplantae; Streptophyta; Magnoliopsida; Lamiales; Oleaceae.